CGCCUUGUGGUUCGGGCCCAGAGGCUCAUGCAGGCGCUUGUGGGGAGCAUGAUGACUGGUGAGCCGAUUCGGAGAAUUUCUGCAGGUUUUGUAAUGAGAGGUGACAGCACACAGCGGGAGACAACAAGAAAGCCUUCUAUAUUCCCUCACAUGCCGGAGGCCCCAUUCAAGGCCCUCCCCUCCACUCUCAGACUCUCACACCUUGGAUCCCAAGUAAGCGCCUGAUCCCUGUGAAGCGGUUUGGACCCCAAAGCCUAGAGGGGGGGUCACAGGAACCCAGCGUUCCCCUUAGAAAUCCAUCAGAAGGUGACAGAUGCGUCUCCUUGGCAAGCCCCAGCCCGCCCUACUGCUGUGUUCCCUCCCUCAGAGAAUUCCCUCCAGCCCGGGACCGGGAACCCUGAGCACCGCUCCCACGACCGGGUGAGGGGGGUACCCGGCCCCAGAAAAGGGUUUCGCCUCCAGCAGCCACCAAGAACGGGCACCAGCCGUGCCUAGAGCGGGCGGGCAAGGCAAGGAGGUGCGCAGAGGCUGACAGGAACUCGUUUAAACCAGACUCAGCCAGUUUUGCUCUGUCUGAGCGGUGGAGGAAGUGAGUGGUUCACACCUGGUGAGUUGGAGUGGCCGGAGGUAUCUGGAGGCCUGGGCAGGGGUGGGGGUGGGGGGGUUCUGUCACUGGAUCUCCCACGGAGCACAUAGGCGAGGUGGCCCCCACCCUAGGGCUUCU
This 724-nucleotide long non-coding RNA is filed under the name Felis catus (domestic cat). RNAcentral describes it as "lncRNA (ENSFCAG00000048445.1)". Lineage: Eukaryota; Metazoa; Chordata; Mammalia; Carnivora; Felidae. The record is from RNAcentral.